CCUAUCAACUUUCGAUGGACUUUCUGCGCCUACUAUGGUGACCACGGGUAACGGGGAAUCAGGGUUCGAUUCCA
Molecule: ribosomal RNA, 74 nt
Filed under: Pelobates cultripes (western spadefoot toad)
Lineage: Eukaryota; Metazoa; Chordata; Amphibia; Anura; Pelobatidae
Description: SSU_rRNA_eukarya
Source: RNAcentral